GGGCGACAACUAAUUUCAAAGUUUCCUCUUCGUUUACUGGAUCAACGUCCUUGCUUGUUUCUGAUAAGUUUCUUGAAUCGAUCUUUAUCAGCUCCGGGGAGGUGAGAAAACUGAAGAGCUUUGAGUCUCUUCUUCUUGAUGUGUUCGUGCUUGAGUUCAAGAAUCAAGUCUCAGACUGCUCCUCGCGAAGUACUUGGCGAUGGCUUUUUCUUGAUGUCGUAGACAGGGGGAAAGAUAAGGCAGCAGAGUGAGCUACUUUUAGCUACAGUGAAGGGAUCUUGCUGUGAUUCUUGUAUGGGUAUAAAAAUUUAUACCCUUGUAGAUUUACUUUGGUGUAAAUUAGUUGUUCAUAUGUAUUGUAGAACUUUAUGAGCAGUUGUGCCUUAAAGUUUACAUUAAUAAUAUUUUUGGUUUUUCCUUUCGGUCAUUU
Molecule: unclassified non-coding RNA, 430 nt
Filed under: Hevea brasiliensis (rubber tree)
Lineage: Eukaryota; Viridiplantae; Streptophyta; Magnoliopsida; Malpighiales; Euphorbiaceae
Source: RNAcentral